Molecule: ribosomal RNA, 433 nt
Filed under: uncultured bacterium
Lineage: Bacteria
Description: partial 16S ribosomal RNA
Rfam family: Bacterial small subunit ribosomal RNA
Source: RNAcentral
AGCGAACGCUGGCGGCAGGCCUAACACAUGCCAGUCGAACGGAUCCUUCGGGAUUAGUGGCGGACGGGUGAGUAACACGUGGGAACGUGCCCUUUGGUUCGGAACAACUCAGGGAAACUUGAGCUAAUACCGGAUGUGCCCUUCGGGGGAAAGAUUUAUCGCCAUUGGAGCGGCCCGCGUCUGAUUAGCUAGUUGGUGAGGUAACGGCCCACCAAGGCGACGAUCAGUAGCUGGUCUGAGAGGAUGAUCAGCCACACUGGGACUGAGACACGGCCCAGACUCCUACGGGAGGCAGCUGUGGGGAAUCUUGCGCAAUGGGCGAAAGCCUGACGCAGCCAUGCCGCGUGAAUGAUGAAGGUCUUAGGAUUGUAAAAUUCUUUCAGCGGGGACGAUAAUGACGGUACCCGCAGAAGAAGCUCCGGCUAACUUCGUG